UUUCCGUAGGUGAACCUGCGGAAGGAUCAUUCAUAAUAAAGUGUUUUAUGGCGCUUUUUAAAAAUCCAUAUCCACCUUGUGUGCAAUGUUAGAUCUCGUCAAUCUUGGCGAGAUUUUUAUACAUCAACUCAUUCUUUAACUAAUUUGUCUGAAAAAUAUUAUGAAUACUUAGUUCAAAAUACAACUUUCAACAACGGAUCUCUUGGCUCUC
Molecule: unclassified non-coding RNA, 211 nt
Filed under: plant metagenome
Description: partial contains small subunit ribosomal RNA, internal transcribed spacer 1, and 5.8S ribosomal RNA
Source: RNAcentral